RNAcentral lists this ribosomal RNA (551 nucleotides) under uncultured Diversisporaceae. RNAcentral describes it as "SSU rRNA". It matches the Rfam family "Eukaryotic small subunit ribosomal RNA", at positions 548 to 1098 of the family's 1831-position model. Lineage: Eukaryota; Fungi; Glomeromycota; Glomeromycetes; Diversisporales. The record is from RNAcentral.
UUGGAGGGCAAGUCUGGUGCCAGCAGCCGCGGUAAUUCCAGCUCCAAUAGCGUAUAUUAAAGUUGUUGCAGUUAAAAAGCUCGUAGUUGAACUUCGGGGUUUACCCAUUGGUCAGGCUUAAUUGUCUGUACUGGUGAGAUAAAUCUCUACCUUCUGAGGAACUUUUAUGUCAUUAACUUGAUGUGAUUGGAAAUCAGGACUAUUACUUUGAAAAAAUUAGAGUGUUUAAAGCAGGCUAACGUCUGAAUACAUUAGCAUGGAAUAAUGAAAUAGGACGGAUUGAUUCUAUUUCGUUGGUUUCUAGGAUCACCGUAAUGAUUAAUAGGGAUAGUUGGGGGCAUUAGUAUUCAAUUGUCAGAGGUGAAAUUCUUGGAUUUAUUGAAGACUAACUACUGCGAAAGCAUUUGCCAAGGAUGUUUUCAUUAAUCAAGAACGAAAGUUAGGGGAUCGAAGACGAUCAGAUACCGUCGUAGUCUUAACCAUAAACUAUGCCGACUAGGGAUCGGACGAAGUUAAUUUUAUAAUGACGCGUUCGGCGCCUUACGGGAAAC